AGAAAAUCAGCACAUUUAAAUUUCUGCAGUGCUUUUCUCCGCCAUCAUUUUUCCCAAAGCAGCACAUACCCAUGAGAGUACCUUACACACAGCACACAAAGGUGAUGGCUGUGAUUCCAAGGAGCUCUGCAGAAAUUACAGAGAUCUCUGGACCAUGGUAACAAGUUAAAAAGUCUAAACUACCCAACAGAAUACUGAACGAACAAGAAAAGCGUAACUGAGAAUUCCAAACCAAAAGACUGGCAAUUUCUGUUAAUCUACAGGGUAACUGGGCAUCUGCUAUUCAAACUGUCAACAAUACAAAAUUAUGAACCUCACUAUUAAAGGGUACACCAUGCAAACUAAGUGGGAAACCAAGG
RNAcentral lists this long non-coding RNA (359 nucleotides) under Homo sapiens (human). Its description in RNAcentral is "HSALNT0116299". Lineage: Eukaryota; Metazoa; Chordata; Mammalia; Primates; Hominidae. The record is from RNAcentral.